GUCUACGGCCAUGCCACCCUGAUGUUUGAUCUUGGGAGCUAAGCAGGGUCAGGUCUGGUUAGUUCUUGGAUGGGAGACCACCUAGGAAGACCAGGUGCUGUAGGCA
Molecule: ribosomal RNA, 106 nt
Filed under: Pteropus alecto (black flying fox)
Lineage: Eukaryota; Metazoa; Chordata; Mammalia; Chiroptera; Pteropodidae
Also listed under: 1 other name
Source: RNAcentral